GGCGCUAUAGCCAAGUGGUUACGGCAACAGAUUAGAAUUGACAACCCAUUGUAUAGCUGUUUAUCUGUUCCUCUUUGAGGGCGCAGGUUCAAAUAGCCACAUAGUUUUC
Hymenopellis radicata is the source of this 109-nucleotide non-coding RNA. The record is from the annotation of a GenBank genome assembly. Lineage: Eukaryota; Fungi; Basidiomycota; Agaricomycetes; Agaricales; Physalacriaceae.